GUAAGAUUCUACAAUAAAUCAUAGUCCUGGCAAUUGAAGAUAACUCAGAGAUGUCACUGAUUAUUUGGUAACCCCAUUCCACUUUAAUACUGUUAAUAGACACACGGUAGACACAAUAUAGAUUGCCAUUAUUCGACAUGCGAGCUUGCUAACAUAACCAGUAUAAAGCCCGUCAAAGGAAGAGGGUUGUGAUAAGUUGAUAGUCAAGUGUAAAACUAGCACAUUUAUGAUGAAUCCAUGCAAUACAGAAUACAACCACAACUAUACCAAUUAAUCACAAUUCACAAGGCAGACACGAGAAAGAAGUAGGCUUCUUGUUUCCAAAUUUCUUUUUCCUUUCCUAGUGCUCUUCAUGAGCAUACAGAAACUUACUGGAUGAUAGUAACAACAACGUACCCUGUGUAAUCCCAUAAGUGAAGUCUGGAGAGAGUGUUCUAUACGCAAACCUUACCCCUACCUUAUGCAGGAAGAGAGGUUGUUUCAGAUCCACCACUCGACUCAAAUUUGC
RNAcentral lists this unclassified non-coding RNA (508 nucleotides) under Hevea brasiliensis (rubber tree). The record is from RNAcentral. Lineage: Eukaryota; Viridiplantae; Streptophyta; Magnoliopsida; Malpighiales; Euphorbiaceae.